GCAUUUUAAUUUUUGCAUUUUAAUUUUUGCUUUAGAUUUUUGCGUCUUUGCUUUCAGUUUUUCAGUUUGCGUUUUUUUUGCUUUCAGUUAUUCCUUUCAGUUUGCGUUUUGCUUUCAGUUUUUUUUUAAAAUUUUUCGUUUUUUCUUGCUUUCAAUAACACACUCAUCCACAAUCUUCUUCUUGAUUUGCUUUACUCAAACUGAACAAACUAUGUUGAAUGAACUUUCUCUCCAUGGCCCCAUUGAUGUGAUGACUCUUUAAACCUAGGUUGAAUCAAUUGCAAUAAGAUGUAUUCAUGUUUGGGAAUUGCUUUUGAAUUGAAUCCUUGAGCUUGCCAUGGUGAAAAACAUACUGAUGACCCUCAACUGAUGAGAAUAAAUUGAAAUUGUGUGAAUGAACUUAAUGUGACUUGUUAGCAAUUGAUGUUGAUUUGCCCAAAUCAUUGAGAAAAGAAAUUCAGAAAAGGCCUAGACUUCAUAAGCACAAUGUGAAAACUGUUCCAA
RNAcentral lists this long non-coding RNA (504 nucleotides) under Manihot esculenta (cassava). RNAcentral's name for it is "long non-coding RNA (MESC_LNC005789)". The record is from RNAcentral. Lineage: Eukaryota; Viridiplantae; Streptophyta; Magnoliopsida; Malpighiales; Euphorbiaceae.